This 236-nucleotide unclassified non-coding RNA is filed under the name uncultured bacterium. RNAcentral's name for it is "contains 16S-23S intergenic spacer region". It matches the Rfam family "Bacterial small subunit ribosomal RNA", at positions 977 to 1200 of the family's 1533-position model. The record is from RNAcentral.
AGGGUUUGACAUGCUGAGUUAAGCCUGCCUGAAAGGGUGGGGUGGUGUGUGGGUGACCACACGCACUCAGCACAGGUGCUGCAUGGCUGUCGUCAGCUCGUGCCGUGAGGUGUCCGGUUAAGUCCGGUAACGAGCGCAACCCUUAUCGCUAGUUGCCAGCGCGUUAUGGCGGGCACUCUAGAGAGACUGCCGGCGACAAGCCGGAGGAAGGUGGGGAUACGUUUUGGAAGCAAGCU